RNAcentral lists this ribosomal RNA (498 nucleotides) under uncultured bacterium. RNAcentral describes it as "bacterial SSU rRNA". It matches the Rfam family "Bacterial small subunit ribosomal RNA", at positions 28 to 519 of the family's 1533-position model. The record is from RNAcentral.
GAUGAACGCUAGCUACAGGCUUAACACAUGCAAGUCGAGGGGUAGCACGGAGGAAGCUUGCUUCCUUGGGUGACGACCGGCGCACGGGUGAGUAACGCGUAUCCGACCUACCCAUAACACGGGCACAGCCGCUCGAAAGAGUGAUUGAUUCCCGAUAUGUCAUAUAAGUAGAUUAUAUGAUGAAAGAUUUAUCGGUUAUGGAUGGGGAUGCGUAAGAUUAGGUAGUAGGCGGGGUAACGGCCCACCUAGCCGACGAUCUUUAGGGGUUCUGAGAGGAAGGUCCCCCCACACUGGUACUGAGACACGGACCAGACUCCUACGGGAGGCAGCAGUGAGGAAUAUUGGUCAAUGGGCGGAAGCCUGAACCAGCCAAGUAGCGUGAAGGAUUACAGCCCUACGGGUUUUAAACUCUUUUAUAUAAGAGUAAUGUGGUCUACGUGUAGAUUAUUGCAAGUAUUAUAUGAAUAAGCAUCGGCUAACUCCGUGCCAGCAGCCGCG